This 1428-nucleotide ribosomal RNA is filed under the name uncultured organism. RNAcentral's name for it is "SSU rRNA". It matches the Rfam family "Bacterial small subunit ribosomal RNA". The record is from RNAcentral.
UGCGGCGCACAUAAGACAUGCAAGUCGAACGGACUUAACCAUUAGUUUACUAUUGGAGCGGUUAGUGGCGGACUGGUGAGUAACACGUAAGCAACCUGCCUAUCAGAGGGGAACAACAGUUAGAAAUGACUGCUAAUACCGCAUAUGCCUUAAUUACCACAUGGUAAUAGAGGGAAAGGAGCAAUCCGCUGAUAGAUGGGCUUGCGUCUGAUUAGAUAGUUGGUAAGGUAACGGCUUACCAAGUCGACGAUCAGUAGCCGGACUGAGAGGUUGAACGGCCACAUUGGGACUGAGAUACGGCCCAGACUCCUACGGGAGGCAGCAGUCGGGAAUAUUGCGCAAUGGAGGAAACUCUGACGCAGUGACGCCGCGUGCAGGAAGAAGGUUUUCGGAUUGUAAACUGCUUUAGACAGGGAAGAAACAAGACAGUACCUGUAGAAUAAGCUCCGGCUAACUACGUGCCAGCAGCCGCGGUAAUACGUAGGGAGCAAGCGUUAUCCGGAUUUAUUGGGUGUAAAGGGUGCGUAGACGGGAAUGCAAGUUGGUUGUGAAAUCCCUCGGCUCAACCGAGGAAUUGCAACCAAAACUAUAUUUCUUGAGUGCUGGAGAGGAAAGUGGAAUUCCUAGUGUAGCGGUGAAAUGCGUAGAUAUUAGGAGGAACACCAGUGGCGAAGGCGACUUUCUGGACAGUAACUGACGUUGAGGCACGAAAGUGUGGGGAGCAAACAGGAUUAGAUACCCUGGUAGUCCACACCGUAAACGAUGGAUACUAGGUGUAGGGGAUGAAUAAUCUUCUGUGCCGUCGCAAACGCAGUAAGUAUCCCACCUGGGGAGUACGGCCGCAAGGUUGAAACUCAAAGGAAUUGACGGGGGCCCGCACAAGCAGUGGAGUAUGUGGUUUAAUUCGACGCAACGCGAAGAACCUUACCGGGGCUUGACAUAUACAUGAAAAUGUAAGAGAUUAGAUCCCUCUUCGGAGCAUGUAUACAGGUGGUGCAUGGUUGUCGUCUGCUCGUGUCGUGAGAUGUUGGGUUAAGUCCCGCAACGAGCGCAACCCCUGUUCUUAGUUGCCAGCAUGUAAAGAUGGGAACUCUAAGAAGACUGCCGGUGAUAAAUCGGAGGAAGGUGGGGACGACGUCAAAUCAUCAUGCCCUUUAUGUCCUGGGCUACACACGUACUACAAUGGCUGUAACAAAGGGAAGCGAACCCGCGAGGGGAAGCAAAACCCAUAAAAGCAGUCUCAGUUCGGAUUGAAGGCUGAAAUUCGCCUUCAUGAAGCCGGAAUUGCUAGUAAUGGCAGGUCAGCAUACUGCCGUGAAUACGUUCCCGGGCCUUGUACACACCGCCCGUCACACCAUGAGAGUUGGGGAUACCCGAAGCCUGUGAGCUAACUGUAAAGAGGCAGCAGUCGAAGGUAGAAUCAAUGAU